Molecule: small nuclear RNA, 185 nt
Organism: Heterocephalus glaber (naked mole-rat)
Lineage: Eukaryota; Metazoa; Chordata; Mammalia; Rodentia; Bathyergidae
Gene: U2
Rfam family: U2 spliceosomal RNA
About the family: U2 is a small nuclear RNA (snRNA) component of the spliceosome (involved in pre-mRNA splicing).
Source: Ensembl
AAGUCUUCUUGGAGUGUCAGCUAAGAUCACGUGCAGUAUCUGUUCUUAUCAGUUAAUAUCUGAUACAUUCUCCAUUCAAGAACAAUAUAUUAAAUGGAGUUUUGGAAAUAGGAGAUGGAAUAGGAGCUUGUCACGUCCACACAUUGACCUGGUAUGGUAGUAACUUCAGGAAUGGUGUAUCCCCU